CUCUUGCUGUGGAUGUGCGUUGCCUUGAUGCUAGGAUAGAAUCCACUUUAUGACACGCUGAUUCUAUCUACUUUUAGGCUAUCUAUUUUCAGAUUCUUGCAUGUGUUUCUCUCACGGUAGAAAUCGAAAGCAGUAAUCUGAUUCCUCUGGACUUUAUACUAUUUUUAGAUUAGAUUCUUGCAUGUGUUGAUGGAAUCAGUGGAUAGAUGAGUAGCAUUUACAAAGGGGAAUUUUGGUUUUAACAGCACUCCUAGAUAACAGAAUAAUUUUUCUUUCACGCAGCCUGAUGAUGGUACUAUAGAUUUCUUUAUUGCUUACAUCAAGUUUGCAAAAAAAAAAUGAAGAUGCCUGAUUUCUUUAUUUGCCAGAUUGCUUCACUUAAUUUUUUUCCAUUAGCUGUACUUAUAUCAUGUGUUAUUUUUUUAGGUUUGACAAGGAACUUAAUAAAGAGGUUGCUAUAGAACCCGUUGAUCUGAAAGAAGCAUGAGUCCCUAACAUGAAUUUUACCUUGUGUCUGUAUCACAGUUUCUCAAGUGGUGUUCCAUUAUGAAUAAUAAUUAUUUACAUAGAGUAUUAAGUGAUCUGUCAUGGGGGAUAAAAGACCAACUUGCGCUGCAUUUGGCGACAUAUCAAACAUCAUCGGAUGAGGUCUCAAUUGGGCAUUUGCACUGAGCCUCCAACUGCACGUUCAGAUAUGUCGUGUACAGUUCACUUGAUAUCCUAAGAAAGGAAAAAAGUUGUUGUUGCUCCAGCAAAGGUAACUACUAUUGGUAGAGGCUAAAGUCAUUAUAUAUCUGUAUAUAUUAUCUAUAGAGCCUGAGACUUGGAGGGCUUGAAUUAUUUAUAAGCUGUGGGUUGUGCUUGUUGUGGGUGGACACUUCUAAGUCUUGAGGAAACUUUUUCUGAAUGGCUGGAGAUUCAUCUCGAUCUACAAUAGUUUUUUCAGAUGGACUGCUCACUUGUAUUAACAAUUUCCAGUUCUAAUGGCUACUUGAUUUUAGCUAUAUGUCAGUGUUCAAAGAUGGAUUCUUAAAGUAUAGAUGGAACAUCAAAGUUUCUGAAAUCUGAAUUAUUCUGUAGCCAGGUGCUUCAAUGUGCGGCAGGAUAAAAUGGCUGUCACAGAAUUUAUCCUGCCACUUGGUUCUAGGCACUGCUGCACCUGCACAUCCAUGAUGUUCUUUUUUCUAAUUAGCAAAAACUGGUGACAUGAAUCUGUGUUGUAUUUUCUAUAAGGAACAAAGCUCUAGGAUGACAUAUGUAACGUCCAAAACUUGGAUGGUUCUAUUUUAGAGUGCGCAAACAAUUGGCUUGAGUUGAUAAUGAGUGUAAAGUACAGAGCUACCUCUAUACUAGCAAACAUCUUUAGGUAUUAAGUUUUGUCCUAAACAGAAAUAUUAUAUAUAAGCAAGUUUUUGCA
Molecule: long non-coding RNA, 1417 nt
Organism: Sorghum bicolor (sorghum)
Lineage: Eukaryota; Viridiplantae; Streptophyta; Magnoliopsida; Poales; Poaceae
Exons: 5
Source: RefSeq, a predicted model, not a curated record